Molecule: long non-coding RNA, 1447 nt
Filed under: Macaca fascicularis (crab-eating macaque)
Lineage: Eukaryota; Metazoa; Chordata; Mammalia; Primates; Cercopithecidae
Description: lncRNA (ENSMFAG00000054049.1)
Source: RNAcentral
UUUUUUUUUUUGAGAAGAAGUCUCAGUCUGUCACCCAGGCCGGAGUGCAGUGGCAUGAUCUCGGCUCCCUGCAAGCUCCGCCUCCUGGGUUCACGCGAUUCUCCUGCCUCAGUCUCCCAAGUAGGUGGGACUACAGGCGCCUGUCACCAGGCCCGGCUAAUUUGUUUUUGUUUUUUGUUUUUUGAUUUUUUUUUGUACUUUUAGUAGACGGGGUUUCACUGUGUUAGCCAGGAUGGUCUCAAUCUCCUGACCUCGCGAUCCGCCCACCUCAACCUCCCAAAGUGCUGGGAUUACAGGCAUGAGCCACUGUAAUCCUUACUCUUAAAUCCUGAAAUCCUUGUCCUUUGGUCUCCCCACCAUCCUGGAGUUUCAUUGAACCUUUACUUCAUCCAGCCCAAGCCUCUCCCCUCUUCCUGGCUUCUCUCUUUUACCUUUCUCCUUUCUUCUCCUCUCUUUCUUCCUCUCUUUUAGGAACAAAAGCCGUUCAUUCCUCUCCUUGUCACAUACAGAGCAGCUUUCCCGCUCCAUAUCUCAGCAUCUGACAGCCAUGCUGACAAAGUGACCACAUGCCCACUGGGCUCACCAAGACCUUCCAUAAACCUAGAUCGCGCCUUCCACAAGGGAAGUUCUGGUGUUCAAUGUUAAGAAAGCAGCAUUUCACCAACCCCGUGAGAGCCCAGGGAGGAAUGCUUUCAUGGGCAAGUAAAUUUGGAAAAUUGUGCACACUGAAGACCCCUCUUAGAGAUUCACAACACAAAGGAUCUUGUGAAGUGUCAAGUUCUCCAGUAAAGACUCAUGUUUAACUCUGUGAAACACAGUAUUUCUGGAGCUCUUUGGGCCAUGGGUUAAUAAGGACACUGCUGAUGACUUACAAAAUAUGCCUUAGAAUGUGCACAGAAAAGGCCCAAGCCUGCCCAAGGAGACAUGUAAGGAGGCCCUGGGAGCAGAAAUACUGGAAAGAAUGAGCCCCCUUGUUGCAGCAGGAAAGCUUUCCCUCGCCCAACCUCACCGAGUGACCUUGGGCCCAUCCCAUCUUCUCCGGGGCCUCAGAAUUAUAGGCUGGCUGGGCUUUGCGCUGUUCCUGACAUUAUUUAUGACAUGAGCCUGGUCACCCCUGUCCUAUAACUGCCUCACAGAGGUGCUCUAAGGAUAAAUAAGUCCAUUAUCUGCAGAGUGCUGAGAGCUCCUUUGAGGGAGGCUUUACAUAAAUGCACAGUUAUUCUUGUGCUUAUAUUAAGUCAGUUAUCAACCUUUUGAGCCAGUCCAGUUUUCUGCACAGGUUGUAUGGAAUAGUAAGAGAGAAACAGGUGAUGCAUCCUCGAAACAAGUGGUGCUGCUUUCAGUCCAGUUUGAGAUGGCAUGUCUAUACACCUCUGCGCACACACACCACACACACACACACACCAGGGAGACACUCUGAGGAUUCAAUAGUUAAGUUAAACAUUAC